AUUUAACGCUGGCGGCAGGCCUAACACAUGCAAGUCGAGCGGUAGAGAGAAGCUUGCUUCUCUUGACAGCGGCGGACGGGUGAGUAAUUCCUAGGAAUCUGCCUGGUAGUGGUGGAUAACGUUCGGAAACGGACGCUAAUACCCCAUACGUCCUACGGGAGAAAGCAGGGGACCUUCGGGCCUUGCGCUAUCAGAUGAUCCUAGGUCGGAUUAGCUAGUUGGUGGGGUAAUGGCUCACCAAGGCGACGAUCCGUAACUGGUCUGAGAGGAUGAUCAGUCACACUGGAACUGAGACACGGUCCAGACUCCUACGGGAGGCAGCAGUGGGGAAUAUUGGACAAUGGGCGAAAGCCUGAUCCAGCCAUGCCGCGUGUGUGAAGAAGGUCUUCGGAUUGUAAAGCACUUUAAGUUGGGAGGAAGGGCAGUAAAUUAAUACUUUGCUGUUUUGACGUUACCGACAGAAUAAGCACCGGCUAACUCUGUG
This 484-nucleotide ribosomal RNA is filed under the name uncultured bacterium. Its description in RNAcentral is "partial 16S ribosomal RNA". It matches the Rfam family "Bacterial small subunit ribosomal RNA", at positions 32 to 507 of the family's 1533-position model. The record is from RNAcentral.